This 77-nucleotide transfer RNA is filed under the name Firmicutes bacterium CAG:475. RNAcentral describes it as "transfer RNA-Val(CAC)". It matches the Rfam family "tRNA". Rfam says of the family: Transfer RNA (tRNA) molecules are approximately 80 nucleotides in length. Their secondary structure includes four short double-helical elements and three loops (D, anti-codon, and T loops). Lineage: Bacteria; Bacillati; Bacillota. The record is from RNAcentral. RNAcentral also lists the same sequence under 4 other names.
GGAGGCAUGGCUCAGUUGGUUAGAGCACACGGUUCACAUCCGUGAGGUCACAGGUUCGAGUCCUGUUGCCUCCACCA